RNAcentral lists this ribosomal RNA (492 nucleotides) under uncultured bacterium. Its description in RNAcentral is "partial 16S ribosomal RNA". It matches the Rfam family "Bacterial small subunit ribosomal RNA", at positions 29 to 507 of the family's 1533-position model. The record is from RNAcentral.
AGUGAACGCUGGCGGUAGGCCUAACACAUGCAAGUCGAACGGCAGCACAGUAAGAGCUUGCUCUUACGGGUGGCGAGUGGCGGACGGGUGAGGAAUACAUCGGAAUCUACUUUUUCGUGGGGGAUAACGUAGGGAAACUUACGCUAAUCCCGCAUACGACCUACGGGUGAAAGCAGGGGAUCUUCGGACCUUGCGCGAUUGAAUGAGCCGAUGUCGGAUUAGCUAGUUGGCGGGGUAAAGGCCCACCAAGGCGACGAUCCGUAGCUGGUCUGAGAGGAUGAUCAGCCACACUGGAACUGAGACACGGUCCAGACUCCUACGGGAGGCAGCAGUGGGGAAUAUUGGACAAUGGGCGCAAGCCUGAUCCAGCCAUACCGCGUGUGUGCAGAAGGCCUUCGGGUUGUAAAGCCCUUUUGUUGGGAAAGAAAAGCAGCAGGUUAAUACCCCGCUGUUCUGACGGUACCCAAAGAAUAAGCACCGGCUAACUUCGUG